Molecule: unclassified non-coding RNA, 599 nt
Filed under: Athalia rosae (coleseed sawfly)
Lineage: Eukaryota; Metazoa; Arthropoda; Insecta; Hymenoptera; Athaliidae
Description: misc RNA ENSAEAG00005002651.1
Source: RNAcentral
GAUGGAUCGAAAAAAUUCCUCGACAUUUUUCAGAGGCUAUACUUUCGGCCUACGGAUCCACGUUCGACUAAAGGGGGCAAACGUCUAACGGUGUACAAUUUUAGAAUCUAGAGACGAAAGCGCAUCGGUUGAUCGAACGAAUAACGCGGAGAGGCGCGGGUGGAAAAUCGUACGGAUUACAUUGUGGGAAAAACUUUCUAUUUCACACGUUUCACCGCACGUGUUAUAGGUGUGUUUUUUUUUUCCCCCCUUUUUCUUUUACGUGUUGGUUAAUUACAUUCACGUAUAUUGACGCCACCCACGUUCACUAAAACUGCAUGUUGUUACUGCACCAUGUGCAGUGGUAUUUUAUGCGUACAGAACUGUGAGACUGUACUUUCGAAUGCAACACUUGCACUUGCACUGCAAUGAAACUCGGCGCAUACAAACGAACGAUAUGAAUUUAAUUGAACACGUUCUCUAAUCUGUUGGAUUUGUAUCGAUUGUAACUUGCACGUUUGUAAAUAAAGUUUGAACACCACGAUCAAUUUUGACUCGUUGGAAAAUUUACCUCGCGAAGAAUACACACUGUACGAUCUUCACGCUACGGCGACUUAUCC